This 879-nucleotide ribosomal RNA is filed under the name Triticum aestivum (bread wheat). Its description in RNAcentral is "partial small subunit ribosomal RNA". Lineage: Eukaryota; Viridiplantae; Streptophyta; Magnoliopsida; Poales; Poaceae. The record is from RNAcentral.
AUGAGCUUCGCUCAAGAGCAUAGCUCAUACCAAAACAAUUACUCACAUGGGUGGCCUAAAAACCCGAAUAUGUCAUAUAGGAGCAAUAACCCUGAGAUCUCAUCGUUUGCCUCCAGUUAUCCAAUGCAGGGAUUUAGGUACAAUGAGGAGAGCCACAACUAUGCACCACAACAAUUUCAUUCAACUCCUACUCAUAUACCACAGUACCAGGAGAUGUGUCCAAUGGAGUUAAAUGGUCCUCCAUUUGGUCAACCAACAACUCCAGCACCUAUUGUGCAAUCUCAUGUGCAAGUGCCCACACAAGAUGAGUUCGAUGACAUAGACAAGCUCACACUUUUGAGUCUCGAGUUUACUUGGAGUGUCAAGGAUGAUCCUAUUAGGAAGGUUAUACUAGAGGAAAUGAAGAAGAUUAAGAGUGGAAAGGAGCUAGUGGAAGAAGUAAGGAAGAUUGAGAAGAACAUCAACGCUGGCAGUACUAUCUCUUCCCUCCUUGAGUUGAGUGUUGCUGGGAUAUCCCUUGAGGUGUGUGAGGUUCCAACACCUUCACAUUCAGCUGAGCAAGAUAGCGAGAGUCCAAAGGAAGAGAUACUUCAGAUCCAAGAAGAAAUUCUCGAAGCCAAGGCACAAGAUGAUCCAGAGCUUGAAUACCCAAAUGAACAAGUUGAAGAUCCAAUGUCAACCACUCCCGAAGAAGUAGAAGAAGCUGUUGUAGUUGAAGAUGAAGAACUAGAAAUUCAUUUGCCUAUUGUCAUACAAGAGCGUGAUGUAUCAAGUUUCUGCUUGUGCACAAAUGAAUACAUGCUGACCAGGUUCGAGGUGACAUCCCUUGGGAUCCCGGUGGAGUCAGAGCAUGGCGAUGAGAAGCAAGGGCACACAUGA